RNAcentral lists this ribosomal RNA (253 nucleotides) under uncultured bacterium. RNAcentral describes it as "partial 16S ribosomal RNA". It matches the Rfam family "Bacterial small subunit ribosomal RNA", at positions 524 to 776 of the family's 1533-position model. The record is from RNAcentral.
UACGUAGGGGGCAAGCGUUAUCCGGAUUUACUGGGUGUAAAGGGGGCGCAGACGGCUUUGCAAGCCAGAUGUGAAAGCCCGGGGCUCAACCCCGGGACUGCAUUUGGAACUGUGUGGCUAGAGUGUCGGAGAGGCAGGCGGAAUUCCUAGUGUAGCGGUGAAAUGCGUAGAUAUUAGGAGGAACACCGGUGGCGAAGGCGGCCUGCUGGACUGCAACUGACGUUGAGGCCCGAAAGCGUGGGGAGCAAACAGG